GUGCCGGUAGUGCAAUGGUUAGCACGCGCCCCGGAAGGAGUGAAACACGUGUUCGAAUCUCGUCCGACAUU
Molecule: non-coding RNA, 71 nt
Organism: Parelaphostrongylus tenuis
Lineage: Eukaryota; Metazoa; Nematoda; Chromadorea; Rhabditida; Metastrongylidae
Source: the annotation of a GenBank genome assembly